GGCUGGUCUGAGGGUAGUGGGUUAUCAGAAUUUAUUAACAUUAGUGUCACUAAAGUUGGUAUAAAACCCCCGAUUGCUAAAUUUGACUGGCUAGAA
Unclassified non-coding RNA from Cercocebus atys (sooty mangabey), 96 nucleotides. It matches the Rfam family "Y RNA". From Rfam's summary of the family: Y RNAs are components of the Ro ribonucleoprotein particle (Ro RNP), in association with Ro60 and La proteins. The Y RNAs and Ro60 and La proteins are well conserved, but the function of the Ro RNP is not known. Lineage: Eukaryota; Metazoa; Chordata; Mammalia; Primates; Cercopithecidae. The record is from Ensembl.